CUCUGUGACUCCUACGGGAGGCAGCAGUGGGGAAUAUUGCACAAUGGGCGCAAGCCUGAUGCAGCCAUGCCGCGUGUGUGAAGAAGGCCUUCGGGUUGUAAAGCACUUUCAGUCGUGAGGAAGGUAGUGUAGUUAAUAGCUGCAUUAUUUGACGUUAGCGACAGAAGAAGCACCGGCUAACUCCGUGCCAGCAGCCGCGGUAAUACGGAGGGUGCGAGCGUUAAUCGGAAUUACUGGGCGUAAAGCGCAUGCAGGUGGUUUGUUAAGUCAGAUGUGAAAGCCCCGGGGCUCAACCUCGGAAUAGCAUUUGAAACUGGCAGACUAGAGUACUGUAGAGGGGGUAGAAUUUCAGGUGUAGCGGUGAAAUGCGUAGAGAUCUGAAGGAAUACCGGUGGCGAAGGCGGCCCCCUGGACAGAUACUGACACUCAGAUGCGAAAGCGUGGGGAGCAAACCAGGAUUAGAUACCCCUGUAG
RNAcentral lists this ribosomal RNA (474 nucleotides) under uncultured bacterium. RNAcentral's name for it is "bacterial SSU rRNA". It matches the Rfam family "Bacterial small subunit ribosomal RNA", at positions 328 to 793 of the family's 1533-position model. The record is from RNAcentral.